GAUGAACGCUGGCGGCGUGCCUAAUACAUGCAAGUCGAGCGAACGGACGAGAAGCUUGCUUCUCUGAUGUUAGCGGCGGACGGGUGAGUAACACGUGGAUAACCUGCCUAUAAGACUGGGAUAACUUCGGGAAACCGGAGCUAAUACCGGAUAAUAUUUUGAACCGCAUGGUUCAAAAGUGAAAGACGGUCCUGCUGUCACUUAUAGAUGGAUCCGCGCUGCAUUAGCUAGUUGGUAAGGUAACGGCUUACCAAGGCAACGAUGCAUAGCCGACCUGAGAGGGUGAUCGGCCACACUGGAACUGAGACACGGUCCAGACUCCUACGGGAGGCAGCAGUAGGGAAUCUUCCGCAAUGGGCGAAAGCCUGACGGAGCAACGCCGCGUGAGUGAUGAAGGUCUUCGGAUCGUAAAACUCUGUUAUUAGGGAAGAACAUAUGUGUAAGUAACUGUGCACAUCUUGACGGUACCUAAUCAGAAAGCCACGGCUAACUACGUG
RNAcentral lists this ribosomal RNA (497 nucleotides) under uncultured bacterium. RNAcentral describes it as "partial 16S ribosomal RNA". It matches the Rfam family "Bacterial small subunit ribosomal RNA", at positions 28 to 507 of the family's 1533-position model. The record is from RNAcentral.